AGAGUUUGAUCCUGGCUCAGGAUGAACGCUGGCGGCGUGCCUAAUACAUGCAAGUCGAACGCUUCACUUCGGUGAAGAGUGGCGAACGGGUGAGUAAUACAUAAGUAACCUGGCAUCUACAGGGGGAUAACUGAUGGAAACGUCAGCUAAGACCGCAUAGGUGUAGAGAUCGCAUGAACUCUAUAUGAAAAGUGCUACGGGACUGGUAGAUGAUGGACUUAUGGCGCAUUAGCUGGUUGGUAGGGUAACGGCCUACCAAGGCGACGAUGCGUAGCCGACCUGAGAGGGUGACCGGCCACACUGGGACUGAGACACGGCCCAGACUCCUACGGGAGGCAGCAGUAGGGAAUUUUCGGCAAUGGGGGAAACCCUGACCGAGCAACGCCGCGUGAAGGAAGAAGUAAUUCGUUAUGUAAACUUCUGUCAUAGAGGAAGAACGGUGGAUAUAGGGAAUGAUAUCCAAGUGACGGUACUCUAUAAGAAAGCCACGGCUAACUACGUGCCAGCAGCCGCGGUAAUACGUAGGUGGCGAGCGUUAUCCGGAAUUAUUGGGCGUAAAGAGGGAGCAGGCGGCACUAAGGGUCUGUGGUGAAAGAUCGAAGCUUAACUUCGGUAAGCCAUGGAAACCGUAGAGCUAGAGUGUGUGAGAGGAUCGUGGAAUUCCAUGUGUAGCGGUGAAAUGCGUAGAUAUAUGGAGGAACACCAGUGGCGAAGGCGACGAUCUGGCGCAUAACUGACGCUCAGUCCCGAAAGCGUGGGGAGCAAAUAGGAUUAGAUACCCUAGUAGUCCACGCCGUAAACGAUGAGUAAUAAGUGUUGGGGGGUCAAAGCUCAGGGCUGCAGUUAACGCAAUAAGUAUUCCGCCCGAGUAGUACGUUCGCAAGAAGAAAACUCAAAGGAAUGGACGGGGGCCCGCCCAAGCGGUGGAGCAUGUGGUUUAAUUGGAAGCAACGCGAAGAACCUUACCAGGUCUUGACAUCGAUCUAAAGGCUCCAGAGAUGGAGAGAUAGCUAUAGAGAAGACAGGUGGGGCAUGGUGGUCGUCAGCUCGUGUCGUGAGAUGUUGGGUUAAGUCCCGCAACGAGCGCAACCCCUGUUGCCAGUUGCCAGCAUUAAGUUGGGGACUCUGGCGAGACUGCCGGUGACAAGCCGGAGGAAGGCGGGGAUGACGUCAAAUCAUCAUGCCCCCUAUGACCUGGGCUACACACGUGCUACAAUGGACAGAGCAGAGGGAAGCGAAGCCGCGAGGUGGAGCGAAACCCAUAAAACUGUUCUCAGUUCGGACUGCAGUCUGCAACUCGACUGCACGAAGAUGGAAUCGCUAGUAAUCGCGAAUCAGCAUGUCGCGGUGAAUAAAAUCUCGGGCCUUGCACUCACCGCCCGUCA
RNAcentral lists this ribosomal RNA (1385 nucleotides) under uncultured bacterium. RNAcentral's name for it is "16S ribosomal RNA". It matches the Rfam family "Bacterial small subunit ribosomal RNA". The record is from RNAcentral.